UUGGAGGGCAAGUCUGGUGCCAGCAGCCGCGGUAAUUCCAGCUCCAAUAGCGUACAUUAAAGUUGUUGCAGUUAAAAAGCUCGUAGUUGAAUUUCGGGAUCAAUUUAUUGGUCGUGCCAACGGUACGCACUGGUACAAUUGGUUUCUCCCUUCUGACGAAGCAUGAUGUCAUUAAUUUGAUGUCGUGGGGAAUCAGGACUGUUACUUUGAAAAAAUUAGAGUGUUUAAAGCAGGCUUUGGCUUGAAUACAUUAGCAUGGAAUAAUGAAAUAGGACGUUUGAUCUUAUUUCGUUGGUUUCUAAGAUCGACGUAAUGAUUAAUAGGGAUAGUUGGGGGCAUUAGUAUUCAAUUGUCAGAGGUGAAAUUCUUGGGUUUAUUGAAGACUAACUACUGCGAAAGCAUUUGCCAAGGAUGUUUUCAUUAAUCAAGAACGAAAGUUAGGGGAUCGAAGACGAUCAGAUACCGUCGUAGUCUUAACCAUAAACUAUGCCGACUAGGGAUCGGAUGAUGUUAAUUUUUUAAUGACUCAUUCGGCGCCUUACGGGAAAC
RNAcentral lists this ribosomal RNA (549 nucleotides) under uncultured Glomeromycotina. Its description in RNAcentral is "SSU rRNA". It matches the Rfam family "Eukaryotic small subunit ribosomal RNA", at positions 548 to 1098 of the family's 1831-position model. The record is from RNAcentral. Lineage: Eukaryota; Fungi; Glomeromycota.